Molecule: unclassified non-coding RNA, 379 nt
Filed under: uncultured Oligoflexales bacterium
Lineage: Bacteria; Pseudomonadati; Bdellovibrionota; Oligoflexia; Oligoflexales
Description: contains 16S-23S intergenic spacer region
Source: RNAcentral
UCCGUGUUAACCACGGCAGUCUCUUUAGAGAGCCCAACUUAAUGCUGGCAACUAAAGACAAGGGUUGCGCUCGUUGCGGGACUUAACCCAACAUGUCACCACACGAGCUGACGACAGCCAUGCAGCACCUGUCACUUGGUCGUAUUGCUACGAAAGUCUCAUCUCUGAGAUUGUCCAAGGAUGUCAAAUCCAGGUAAGGUUCUUCGCGUUGCUUCGAAUUAAACCACAUGAUCCACCGCUUGUGCGGGCCCCCGUCAAUUCCUUUGAGUUUUAGUCUUGCGACCGUACUUCCCAGGCGGGGUACUUAUUGCGUUAGCGCCGGUUCGACGGGGGUCAAGACCCAUCAAACCUAGUACCCAUCGUUUACAGCGUGGACUAC